This 65-nucleotide transfer RNA is filed under the name Phyllophorella liuwutiensis. RNAcentral describes it as "tRNA-Asp". It matches the Rfam family "tRNA". From Rfam's summary of the family: Transfer RNA (tRNA) molecules are approximately 80 nucleotides in length. Their secondary structure includes four short double-helical elements and three loops (D, anti-codon, and T loops). Lineage: Eukaryota; Metazoa; Echinodermata; Holothuroidea; Dendrochirotida; Phyllophoridae. The record is from RNAcentral.
AGGGUUUUAGUUUAGAAAAAUACUGGACUGUCAGACCAGAGACGAAGAAAUAUCUUCAAACCUUG